RNAcentral lists this ribosomal RNA (450 nucleotides) under uncultured bacterium. RNAcentral describes it as "partial 16S ribosomal RNA". It matches the Rfam family "Bacterial small subunit ribosomal RNA", at positions 338 to 795 of the family's 1533-position model. The record is from RNAcentral.
CCUACGGGGGGCUGCAGUAAGGAAUAUUGGGCAAUGGAGGCAACUCUGACCCAGCCAUGCCGCGUGAAGGAUGACGGCCCUAUGGGUUGUAAACUUCUUUUAUACGGGAAUAAACCCGGGUACGUGUACCCGGCUGAAUGUACCGUAAGAAUAAGGAUCGGCUAACUCCGUGCCAGCAGCCGCGGUAAUACGGAGGAUCCAGGCGUUAUCCGGAUUCAUGGGGUUUUAGGCGUGUGUGGAAGGCAUUGGAGAAAGCCUACAGCUUAACUGUAGAACUGCCGUUGAUACUGCAAGUCUUGAGUACAUUUGAUGUGGGCGGAAUGUGUCAUGUAGCGGUGAAAUGCUUAGAUAUGACACGGAACACCAAUUGCGAAGGCAGCUCACAAAACUGUAACUGACGCUGAGGCACGACAGCGUGGGGAUCAAACAGGAUUAGAUACCCUUGUAGUC